Non-coding RNA from Podarcis lilfordi (Lilford's wall lizard), 6389 nucleotides. The record is from the annotation of a GenBank genome assembly. NCBI's taxonomy places the organism in Eukaryota, Metazoa, Chordata, Lepidosauria, Squamata, Lacertidae.
CAAAAAUGGCAAUCACAUCUAUUCUUCUUAUAAAUGUAAUCUCUUGUACAAGCUCAAGGGUCUUCCCUGGGGUGAGAGUUUCCACCUUUUGGUAAAAUGAUACACUCCCAGGACUGAGGAAACAUGACCCCUGAUGGAGAUAGAGUUAUUAAAGUAAGGUGACUUUCUUGAAGCUGUAUUCCAGAAAUGGAGGCAAUGAACCAUUAAGAUUAUUAUUAUUUUUUGUUAAAUUCUGAUUAACAUUGUAAAUUGUUUUAACUGAUUUUUAAUCUACUAAUUGUCCUGGGAAUGUAUGGCGAAGGCAGGUAAGCAGUAUCAACACCAUCAUCAAGAUUCCCCAUGAGAGACUGUGCCCUUUGGGUUGCAAAAGGUUGUCUCCCUCCCCCACCCCCCGUUUAUUUUGUGUUGCAUUCAGAGCACCAAAAAAAUUACUUCAUUUUUAUACAUUCUGUAAAACUACAGAUUGCGCGACUCUAGUUUCAAGUCUUAUUUGUGUCUUGUACAAAACACUGAUAUUGAUACAGAUAGCUGUGCACUCCCUUGAACUCCAUUUCCCCCUCUAUUUAAUUCCACAGGCCAGUUGGGAGUUGUAAUAUUUUCAAGAGUUUAGCUUACAAAAGAUCUAAAAAUAAACCAACUUCCAUGAAAGGUUUGGCCUCUCAGUCUCCAAUUUCAGAGAGAAGGAUACGUCUGGUCUUGGCUUUAAGCUGCCAGGAGGUUCAGAGCUAAUAUAAAGGAGUCACAUUAGAUUGGGUUGGGAAAAGACGAGAAGAUAAAGUGAAUUCAGCUUGAACUAACAAAGCUUCUAUUGAAAGUUUUAGUUUCAUCUUUCAAGGCAGUGGAGGAGAGGAAAGAUGUAUUUAGAUACAAGAACCCAUUUCCCCAAACAACAAUUCUACUUUGACAUCAUUGCAGCUCCAGAGUACACCCACAACUUCUCUGCAAGUAGGAAAAUACAACCUCUAUAUGUGUUUUAAGAGCACAGCCAAUUAGCAAGUUUCCUUGAUUUCAGCUGGAUUUAUAGACACACUUUUUGUGGUUAGAUUUAAAUAUACCACAUUAAAACAGACAGUUUGUUGCAGACGUUCACCAUCAAUAUAACUUUGUUCACAUAUAUAAUGCUCAAUCCCUAGUUGUGAGAGCAGACUAUCAUGUUCAGAAAUAUAAACAUUUAGAUACAUAAGUCAUCCGUUCUAAUGUCACUGAGAGCAAGAAGGCUGUCUUUGUGGGUUUUUGCAUCCUGACAGCUUAAAUUGGGUUGUGGAAUAACUGGGUAUAGAACACAAUAGCAAACCUGUCACAAAAGCAUGUUAAUCACUGUGCAACUGAUACGUGACAUCCACUGGUGAAAGGCAUUUUUUACAGUGUUUCAUUAAAACUAAAAGGAGGAUUAAGAGCCUACUCCUUGAUUAAUGUCUUCUAUGACUGCAAGAUGUGAGCUCUAGAUAUGACUGAAAUAUAGAGGAUAUGAAAUUAAGUAUCUGCCAGUGGAGCCUUCUAAACACAUACAUGAGUAAGCACUAAAAUAAUUAGUUAAUUCAUCAAGGUAGGAGAAUUCUUCUUAAAGCCAUACCUGCGGCCCCACAAUCUAACUUCCUCACCCACUGUGGAACCAAACAAUCUUGUUGCAUGACACAGAGUACAAUUGGUACCCCACUAAUACACUCUUGCUAAGGUCAACACCUUAAAAAUAGAAAUGUUCAUCCACUUUGAACAAAGCCAGCUACGAAGCUGACGCAUGACACUUUGAAGAUAUUUGGGUCUCCUCCAAAAAGAAGUGGGUUUUGUCCGAAGCAAAGUAGGCUCUUCCCAAGGUUUCAGAAAAGUGUUGGGGAGGAGGUUCUGGUCAAUACCUGAACCUCCCCCAAGCCCUCCAUAAAAGGAAAAUGCCAGGCAGAAGGAAAGGAGAAGGGUGUUGUUGUUUUGUGACUAACAGCUGUAUCUUCCAACUGCAGAAUAACCUUAUCAGGGCUCUCCAAUCACUACAUUUGGGAGGAACAGUGAAGAAAAACAACAAAAAUUAUUCCCGGGUUUCCAAUACCCUUUUCCAAGUUGCGUCUCCCACGAGCAACAACAUGGUGGCGGCUAUGUUUGGGUUGUGUGACCUUAUUACAAUCCAGGCCAAUCCUAACCUAAAGCCCGUCCUAAAAUGCAAUCCCUUGUAUCCAAAGUCUUGUUUGCUCUUGCUACUCUUUGUGUUUGCUUUGAAUCAGUUAUCAGGUAUGUCAUUUCCCUUUGCUUGGCUCCCACCCCCCACAUUUGAGCCUUACUUGAUAGUGGCAGGGAAUUACAUUUAUAUUCCACUUUUCCUCCAAGGAGUUAACAUACCUGGUUCUCCCCCUCUCAUUUUUAAUCUCACAGCAACCCUGCGGGGUAGGUUCAGUUGCAAAAUGUUGACUGGCCCAAUAUCACCCAGUAAACUUCAUGGCUGAGGUAGGAUUUCUUCUUAAGUGGAUACUAUUUCCACUUAAGAACACAACUCUGCCACUCUCCAAGUCUAUGGUCUCUUUAACAUAUUCUGGAAGGUUGUAUGUGAUCCCCCCCCCCCCCAAUAUAAUAAACUAUAAUAAUCUGAGGUUAAGGACACAUUUAUUAUUUCACAAAGCUCUUUAAAAUGUUAAUCACUGUACACACACACACACACACCAUUAGCCACUGCAAAAACUACCUGCAAAAUACAAGGUUCCAGGUUUUGUAGAGUGGUGGCACUGAAGUGAGAAAAUUAAUCACUUUGGUACCAGAAAUGGAACAUCCUAGGUUCAUUUAGAUUAACAAACUGUUUUGAAACUAAUGAUAUAUAUAGAUAUAUAUAGAUAUAUCCAGUGCUCUGUCACAGAUUCUUUCAUGCUGUUUCUCCAACUCUGCAUUGCAGUGACCUAAUGGGUGAAAAGAGAGAGGAGACAAAUUGGAAAGAGAGGAGGUCAAGCAGGCUGAACACUGUCAGAAAAAGAAAUAGUAUGACAAAAUAGUCUGUUUACCCCAGCUAUUUAUUUCCUAUUUCCAUCGCUACGAUUCUUCUCUGCUUGCCACCCAGAAAAUAAAACAGGGCUGCAAAGUGUUUUCAAACAGCAAAAGAAAAAGCAGCCUAAACUGAUACAAAAUUAUCUAGACAAAAAUAUUAUGAAUGUUUUAAAGGGUUGGAAAAGAACACCGUGGUCAACCCCAGGGUGGGAGAUCCAUUUAAUGUUUUAGAUGCUCUAAACCUCCAUCUGUUGAUGCAGUCACUAUGCUCAUACUGAUGCAGAGGGGUUAAGGAAGGUCUCCACCAGCUAUUACAGAAGAUAAUUGUGCAUAACUUUUCCCCCCAGACUCACAUCCUAUAUAUGACUAGUGAAUACUCUCCCAGUGCCUAUCCCUGUAUAGUCAAAAUAACUUCUAAUAUAUUUAAAUAAUUUUUCAUGGGUGGUCUUGAUUUUUUUUUAGGAGAGUUGUACAAGGUCCCCCCACUUCACUUUGGAGCACACUCAGUAUUGGCCCCCUAUUCACUUCUGAUCAUUUUGGGAGGCCCUUUCAUCCAAAACAAAAUUGAGAAGAAUAAAGUGUCUGUGAUCCCUUUAACUUGCAUUGGGAAACCAAAACAGCCAGAGCUUUCUGGUUUCUUCACAUAGGUGCAUGAAACCUGCAGGUAUAGUAGCCGCACAAGAGAGGAUUAACCAUACCAAAUUCCAGACUGGUACAGCCAGGGGUUUCUGUUCUCCCUACCUUUACCACUUGUUGCUGUUUUUCCCAAAAGUAAAAUGUCCAAAACUUUCAGGUUCAGUGGUUCACAAAGGUACAUGAAACCUGCAGACAUACAAAGCGUUCUCACAAAUAUUGGCACAGGGGAGAAGUGACACAGCCUAUGUAACUAACAACUGAAGCCUAAUAAGUGUGAGUGACUAAGAGGUAUAAGUCUGUAUUAAGGCACAGACAAGGGGCAGCACACUAUUUUAUUUUUAUAAUUUAUAAGUAGAGGCUGUGUUGGAUUAGGAAGGAUGGGAAAAGACAGAAAAACAAACAGGUAAGCUGGCUAUAGCAUAAAGGAUAAGUGACCAGGAUUGAUUGGGAGAGGAUACAGCUGUGAAUAAAAUGUAAAACCAAAGACUAUGGCCCAAAAAUGGAGGUGGGGAAAGGAAGGUGACACUGCCUAAGUAACUAGUCUAAUUAAACACUGAUUCAGUCUGAAUACACCCACCUCUCCUCAGUAUUCAAAUACAAAGUGGCUGGACAAAGUGGUUGCCUAGCCCUAGAUUUUAGCAAUUCACAUUCUUUAUAAAAACCUCAAAUUCUUCUUUCUUUGCAUCCCUUAUUGCCUGCUUCCAUUUCUUUUGCCAGAGUUCCUUUUUAUUCUCCUCUUUUGGACAAGACUUCCAUUUUCUGAAAAACAUCUUCUUGCAUCUAAUAGCUUCUUCCUUGAGUCGCUCAUUAACCAAGCUGACAUCGUCUUGGUCUGAUCGGCAGCCUCCAUUCUAGCUGAGCUUCUAUUAUUGUGAUUUUGAAUAGCCUCCGAGCAUUCUGGAGAGAGUUGACCCUCUUGACUUUCCCUUUCAACUUCCUACAGUUCCAGUCUACUACUUUUCCUACGGUUACAAUCAACUGCAGCUAUAUUUGAGCAUUAUUUACUCCUGUGUACAGCAACUCAAGAGGAAGGAGUGAGACCACAGCAAGUGGGCCAAGGAGAAUGGAAUGGAGUUUGGAAUUGGGUAUGGCUGGCUGGCACCCUGUACAGAAGCAAUAACUAUAUAUAUAUAUUGCAGGUACUAUAUGUAUGAUUGUUAUUUUUCAUUUAUGAUUAAAUUUUUCAUUUAUGAUUGCUGAUUUAGGUGUAAACCUCGCAAAAGAUAAUAGAUUUUAAGAAGUGAUGUUCCAGACAAUUAUCAUAUGUGCCCAGAAUGGAAACCCAAGUACAAAUAAAAUUUCAACAAAAAUGUAAGCAGGCUCUUUGUAGCACUCCUGUCAUAUGGAACUCUUAGCCCACCCUGGUCCAGCACUCACAUGCUUUUGUGGUACAGAGAGGCCAAGGCCAGAGUAAGAAGGAGUUGCUGGUUAUGCAUUUGCAUCCCUUCAAAAUGUUAUCCAAACAAACCCAUCUCAUGCUACCUGCUCUUUAUUUCCUCUCUUCAUUGUGAGAGAGGAGACAGAAAUAAGCACUGUGAAAGUGAUGGAAAUGGCCUAAACUAGGCUUCCUCAACCUCGGCCCUCCAGAUGUUUUGAGACUACAGUUCCCAUCAUCCCUGGCCACAGGUCCUGCAACUAGGGAUCAUGGGAGUUGACUUUCACGCACAAAUAAGACUUGGAAACACAAAAAUCUCAUUUCCUUGUCUAUAAAGGAGAUGGGCAAGUUGAUAUUGCAGGCAACAGUUACACCAGCAGCCAUUCCUUCAUGGAUAGUGCAGGUGUCUUAAACAUAAACACAAGUUUCAGAGCUGGUUCCAGGUUUUUGCCCAUCUUUGGACCAGAUGCUUCUGGUAGGGUCUUUUCCUUAAGUGAGCCACUAACCACCACCUCCUCCUUGCCACUGCCUCUUUGCUUGUCUCUGAGCCCAAGCUGCACCACCUCAGAGGGAGAAGACAAGGCAUCAGGAGGUUAGAACUCCUUCUCCUCACUCUUUUCGUUGCUUUCAGUGAAAUGUGAAUGUACACCUGAAUUUUGCAGCCUUGUUGAUCUCUGUAUUUAAUUUUGUAAUUGUUCUGAAAAUUAUAUAGCAAAAAAACCAAUAAACCAAACUAAUUCUCUUUCUCUUUCUCUCUUGCAUAUUUUUUCAAAGCAAUCAUAUGAAAGAAAAGGUGCUACAUUGAAAGUGAUCGCAAGUCUUCAUUUGCAUCUGAAGUUGAGCAGAAGGACAGCAGAUCUUUAAAGUGCUUUUGAAAACUUGAUGAUUUCCAUUCAUUGUGAUUCCCUUCAGAACUUCAUCAGCCCAGCUAUGCAAACAGCAGCACAGCCAAAACAACCCGCAAACUGCAGCACCCAAGUGCAUUUCAGCUGGUAAUGUUUUCACCUCUCAACCGCCGUAGAUGGUUACAGCAUGGGGAAUGGGAGGGACUUCUGUUUUCCUAUAGACGGCAUACAUUUAUCAUCUGAUUAAAAACAUUUAUUUAUCUCUCUAGAAAAACAUCCAUCUCCUAACAAGCAGAGACAUUUAUAAAUAACUUAUGGUGCUCCAGCCGACUACUAAACAUAAUGAUUUAGGAUGAAAGAAGAAGCCUCUCUGAUCAUUGUCCUUUAGAGUUCCAAAGCCCAUUUUUCAUGUUGAUCUGCUGUCGUCGAUAAGUGAUUGCCUGAUGGUAUAUUGCAUUUCCUCUGCCGUGCUAAGUUGUUUGCAAAAGGAACAAAGGACAACUUGUCACAUCAAAGAAAGGACUGGAGCCCACUAGGAGGUGAAGCAAGAGUUUAUACUCCCUUGCCCUGAG